This 113-nucleotide ribosomal RNA is filed under the name Trichonephila clavata. The record is from RNAcentral. Lineage: Eukaryota; Metazoa; Arthropoda; Arachnida; Araneae; Nephilidae.
ACGGCCAUACCAUGCUGAAAACACCGGUUCUCGUCCAAUCACCGAAGUAAAGCUUCAUCGGGCACGGUGAGUACUUGGGAGGGUGACCACCUGGGAACACUGCGUGCCGCUUG